RNAcentral lists this long non-coding RNA (350 nucleotides) under Apteryx rowi (Okarito brown kiwi). RNAcentral's name for it is "lncRNA (ENSARWG00000018203.1)". Lineage: Eukaryota; Metazoa; Chordata; Aves; Apterygiformes; Apterygidae. The record is from RNAcentral.
CUUCAAGGAGGUCUGUGUGCUUAAGAGGAUAAUGACCUUGAAUCCUAAACUUGAAUGGUCUGACUCGCUCCUCAGGCACUGAAAGUAGGUGGUUUGGUCUCUGCUUAGCUUCCCAAACGUAAAUAAUGGCAUAGAGGUGCUUUGAUUUUUUUUUUUUUUUUUUUUUUUAAGUGUGCUGUAUCAGAUCCAAUGGCAGUGGGAGUAACAGAAGGCUUAUAAAAGGCAGAACGUAACAGUUCUAGCUGCAUUAUACUCCCAUUGCACCCGUGUGGAAGAAGACAACACUGAAAGCAGAGCCUGGACAGUCAGUUUUCUUGAGUGCCCUCAUGGACCUUGAGACCACAUUUCUG